This 1382-nucleotide ribosomal RNA is filed under the name Microbacterium sp. DLB3. RNAcentral describes it as "bacterial SSU rRNA". It matches the Rfam family "Bacterial small subunit ribosomal RNA". The record is from RNAcentral. Lineage: Bacteria; Bacillati; Actinomycetota; Actinomycetes; Micrococcales; Microbacteriaceae.
GCAGUCGAACGGUGAAGCCAAGCUUGCUUGGUGGAUCAGUGGCGAACGGGUGAGUAACACGUGAGCAACCUGCCCUGGACUCUGGGAUAAGCGCUGGAAACGGCGUCUAAUACUGGAUAUGAGACGUGAUCGCAUGGUCGUGUUUGGAAAGAUUUUUCGGUCUGGGAUGGGCUCGCGGCCUAUCAGCUUGUUGGUGAGGUAAUGGCUCACCAAGGCGUCGACGGGUAGCCGGCCUGAGAGGGUGACCGGCCACACUGGGACUGAGACACGGCCCAGACUCCUACGGGAGGCAGCAGUGGGGAAUAUUGCACAAUGGGCGAAAGCCUGAUGCAGCAACGCCGCGUGAGGGAUGACGGCCUUCGGGUUGUAAACCUCUUUUAGCAGGGAAGAAGCGAAAGUGACGGUACCUGCAGAAAAAGCGCCGGCUAACUACGUGCCAGCAGCCGCGGUAAUACGUAGGGCGCAAGCGUUAUCCGGAAUUAUUGGGCGUAAAGAGCUCGUAGGCGGUUUGUCGCGUCUGCUGUGAAAUCCCGAGGCUCAACCUCGGGCCUGCAGUGGGUACGGGCAGACUAGAGUGCGGUAGGGGAGAUUGGAAUUCCUGGUGUAGCGGUGGAAUGCGCAGAUAUCAGGAGGAACACCGAUGGCGAAGGCAGAUCUCUGGGCCGUAACUGACGCUGAGGAGCGAAAGGGUGGGGAGCAAACAGGCUUAGAUACCCUGGUAGUCCACCCCGUAAACGUUGGGAACUAGUUGUGGGGACCAUUCCACGGUUUCCGUGACGCAGCUAACGCAUUAAGUUCCCCGCCUGGGGAGUACGGCCGCAAGGCUAAAACUCAAAGGAAUUGACGGGGACCCGCACAAGCGGCGGAGCAUGCGGAUUAAUUUGAUGCAACGCGAAGAACCUUACCAAGGCUUGACAUAUACGAGAACGGGCCAGAAAUGGUCAACUCUUUGGACACUCGUAAACAGGUGGUGCAUGGUUGUCGUCAGCUCGUGUCGUGAGAUGUUGGGUUAAGUCCCGCAACGAGCGCAACCCUCGUUUUAUGUUGCCAGCACGUAAUGGUGGGAACUCAUGGGAUACUGCCGGGGUCAACUCGGAGGAAGGUGGGGAUGACGUCAAAUCAUCAUGCCCCCUAUGUCUUGGGCUUCACGCAUGCUACAAUGGCCGGUACAAAGGGCUGCAAUACCGUGAGGUGGAGCGAAUCCCAAAAAGCCGGUCCCAGUUCGGAUUGAGGUCUGCAACUCGACCUCAUGAAGUCGGAGUCGCUAGUAAUCGCAGAUCAGCAACGGUGCGGUGAAUACGUUCCCGGGUCUUGUACACACCGCCCGUCAAGUCAUGAAAGUCGGUAACACCUGAAGCCGGUGGCCCAACCCUUGUGGAGGA